CAGCAGCCGCGGGAAUACGAGGGGGGCAAGCGUUGUUCGGAAUUAUUGGGCGUAAAGGGUGCGUAGGCGGCUUGACAAGUCUUGUGUGAAAUCUAUGGGCUCAACCCAUAGUCUGCACGGGAAACUGUCGGGCUUGAGAAUGGGAGAGGUGAGUGGAAUUUCCGGUGUAGCGGUGAAAUGCGUGGAUAUCGGAAGGAACACCGGUGGCGAAGGCGGCAACCUGGUCCUUGACUGACGCUGAGGCGCGAAAGCGUGGGGAGCAAACAGGAUUAGAUACCCCCGUAGUCCCUGUCUCUUAUAC
RNAcentral lists this ribosomal RNA (301 nucleotides) under uncultured bacterium. RNAcentral's name for it is "partial 16S ribosomal RNA". It matches the Rfam family "Bacterial small subunit ribosomal RNA", at positions 509 to 807 of the family's 1533-position model. The record is from RNAcentral.